RNAcentral lists this transfer RNA (93 nucleotides) under Caulobacter sp. Its description in RNAcentral is "tRNA-Sec". It matches the Rfam family "Selenocysteine transfer RNA". Lineage: Bacteria; Pseudomonadati; Pseudomonadota; Alphaproteobacteria; Caulobacterales; Caulobacteraceae. The record is from RNAcentral.
GGAGGCGAACGGGGUCUGGUGGCCCUCCUGGUCUUCAAAACCAGCGGACCGCCCCAAGCGGUCGGUGGGUUCGAUUCCCAUCCGCCUCCGCCA